Molecule: ribosomal RNA, 460 nt
Filed under: uncultured bacterium
Lineage: Bacteria
Description: partial 16S ribosomal RNA
Rfam family: Bacterial small subunit ribosomal RNA
Source: RNAcentral
CCUACGGGGGGCUGCAGUGAGGAAUAUUGGUCAAUGGACGAGAGUCUGAACCAGCCAAGUAGCGUGAAGGAUGACUGCCCUAUGGGUUGUAAACUUCUUUUAUAUGGGAAUAAAAUGUUCCACGUGUGGGAUUUUGUAUGUACCAUAUGAAUAAGGAUCGGCUAACUCCGUGCCAGCAGCCGCGGUAAUACGGAGGAUCCGAGCGUUAUCCGGAUUUAUUGGGUUUAAAGGGAGCGUAGGUGGAUUGUUAAGUCAGUUGUGAAAGUUUGCGGCUCAACCGUAAAAUUGCAGUUGAAACUGGCAGUCUUGAGUACAGUAGAGGUGGGCGGAAGUCGUGGUGUAGCGGUGAAAUGCUUAGAUAUCACGAAGAACUCCGAUUGCGAAGGCAGUUCACUGGACUGCAACUGACACUGAGGCUCGAAAGUGUGGGUAUCAAACAGGAUUAGAUACCCUAGUAGUC